CCUAGAGCUCCAAAAUACCCUUACAUACAAGAACCCUACAACAUUGAAUCGCGUCAAAAGAUACCCAACAAGUUACAUGUCAAACCGAUAGUCCAGUCAUGCAGGUCUCCAACAGAGCUAUAAGCAAAAUCUAGCUUGAAUUCACUACACACACUCACACUCAACAAGUUACAUGUCAAACCGAUAGUCCAGUCAUGCAGGUCUCCAACAGAGCUAUAAGCAAAAUCCAGCUUGAAUUCACUACACACACUCACACUUCACAUGAUUGAAUGCUGACUGACUAGACAUUAAGAUGCUACUAAGCAAGCAUAUACAUAUUAUAUAUAUAUAUAUAUACGUACGCGUGUGUAUGUGUGUGUGUAUAUUUAUAUGUGCCAAAAAAUGCUAACAGUUUUGAUCUCAUUGAAC
This 408-nucleotide long non-coding RNA is filed under the name Actinidia chinensis (golden kiwifruit). RNAcentral's name for it is "long non-coding RNA (ACHI_LNC006959)". The record is from RNAcentral. Lineage: Eukaryota; Viridiplantae; Streptophyta; Magnoliopsida; Ericales; Actinidiaceae.